GGAACUUAAAAAAAAAAAAAAAAGAGUUACAUCAAGCACGCAUAUUCCGAGUACUCAAAACCACUCCCCACGAAGAACUCUCAGAACCCGUCCAUGUGGAGAAUCAGGAUCACCACGCAUAGCAUUCUCUCUCCAUAUCUUUCGAGCUCUUUCCAACGCUUCCUCAGCCGUGUCAAGCUGUUCCGGCCGCCACCCAAUUACGUCUCUACCCAUUCCACUAGCAUCUACAGUGCUAUCAGAUGCCCUUCUUAUUGGCGUCCUUGUAUCUGCAAACUUAAUCUCCGAUAAAGGGGACGCCUUGUGAUGCCUAUAGUAAUCCUUAUCGUCUUCUUGUACUUGCGUUCCCUUCUCCAUCGGCCAUGGGGUCCCAUCAAGCCCCGCACAGUUUAUUUCUUCGAGGGUUACCGGUGAGUUCUGACGUUUUUGUUGAAUCUGUGGUUCUACAGGAUGGUUCACUCCAAUGCUUUCAAGCCUAGGAGAAGAAACAUACGGUGGUUUCGGUGGUGCCAAUGGUUCGGUUUCUUUACUGGGUUUGUAUUCAACUUCAGUUUCCGUUUCUCUCUUGGCUGGUUCAGGCUCGUAUAGAUUUCUUGUUUCCUGCAAUAUCAAACGCUCUAGGAUUUCAGGUCGGCUCCUUCAGAUAAUAAGAAUGAAAGAGAGAGAAGGAGAGUCUCAUUUUGAAAUUUCGUGAGAGAGUGAGUCUUACUUCUGGUUUCCCAGAGAGAACGGCAGGUUUCACUUCACGAUCACGAUCCCCGGAGUAAACGGCAGGGUCAUCGGCUCGACCAGAAGAAAUAGCGGCAAAUCCUCGUUGUUGAACUUGAUUGUGGGCUAAAGAUAGCACCCUAUAAAAUCUUGUUGCGAUGGCAGCUAGUCUUGUUUGAUCCAUUUUGCUUUCUGUUGCUUGAAUACUUCAGUUACUUUCAAAUUAGUUGAGGAAUGCAGGGCGAAGUGCAGCUCAACCGAAGAAGCGAAGAAGAGAGUAGAGGGAGGACAUUCUAGAGAAAAGGAGAUCAGUCACGAGAACACGUGUCGAUGCAACUGACGUGGCAACAGUAUCUCAUGCCUUAAUGUUUUGACGUGUCGUUUUCUGAUUCCUUCUUGCAUCUAUGUACGUGUCAUUUGGAGCUGAGAGAAGCACCUGGAUGCCUCGAGACGUUGCUUCCAGGAGGGAGGAGGGCCCUUGCACUAUGUUUGUGUUGGAAGGAAAGAAAUUAAUGAAAGAAAAAUUAAAAAAAAUAAUAAUUAGGAAAGAAAAUAAUUUUGUUAUUUAUGUUUGGGUAAGGGAAAAAAUAUUGUGAAAAAAGUUAUUUUUUUAAAUAAUAAAAUUAUAAUAUUACCCCUAGAUAUUCAAAAAGAACCUAGAAAAUAUAAGAAUAUUUUUCUAAUUUUAAACAUUUUCCUCCCACUUUCCCCCCGUUUUGGAGAGAAAAUGGGAGUGGAAUCUAACUCUUAUUUUCCUUUCAAAAUUUUAUUUCCUCCUUAUUUUCCUCUUUAACCAAAUAUAAGUGAGUGGAAAAUAAGGCUAUUUUCCUCUCAAAUUUUCCUUCCUCCCUUAUUUUUCUUCAAUCCAAACACUGUUUAAGGGUAUGUUUGGGUAUUUAAUCUAAUAAUCUGGAUUCUUUAGUCUUUACAUUCUAGUCUGAUGAUUUUAUUCUGCGGCUUCCAGAAAUUUAUAAAUUAACUGCAUCUGCUGGUAUAAUCAGCAAAAGCAAGGAGAAAAGAAUACUUUAGGAAAUGAAUUGGAAUCCAGAUUUUCCCUCCUAUUCUUUAAAAUUCAGUUGAAAGAAAUUUGACUCAUGAAAAGUUGCUUGUGAGUUUGAAAUAUGUUUUCUAGAUUUUUCUAUUCUUUUUUUCCCUUUUACAUAUCAAUAAACAUGUAUGCAUUACAUUUAUGGCAUAACUUAAGGUUACUUUCAUUUUGUAAUAUUUGUUGCUUAAUGUUUAGUAGUGGGUGCAUACACAUAGUGAUAGUGUUCAUGUUCAUGUGUGUACUGCUUCACCAUUGCAUGUCUUUAUUUGCUUGAGAUAUGACAAAGACCUAUUUGCUUGUUAAAUCACUACCUAUUUCUGGGUAUUUUUUGAUGAAUCCUUGAUCUUUCUUUGCCUUCUUCUAGUUUCUACUCUUUAGUCAUUCCAUGGUUAUGAUAUCGUCUCACCACGCAAUCAGUUAUGAUGAAGUAGUUCCAAGAAAACUUGAAAAGAAAACUACCAACGUAACAAUUUAGUUAAGAAAUUAUGCUGCAUGCAUGUCCUCUUUUGUCCACAGUUUUCUUCACUACCAUGUGCAUUUCUCUGUUAGGUGUACCGUCUUCUUAUUAAACAGAAAAGGUAAAGUUCAAUUCCAUAAGUGCAUAAU
Molecule: unclassified non-coding RNA, 2359 nt
Filed under: Hevea brasiliensis (rubber tree)
Lineage: Eukaryota; Viridiplantae; Streptophyta; Magnoliopsida; Malpighiales; Euphorbiaceae
Source: RNAcentral